This 29-nucleotide non-coding RNA is filed under the name Rattus norvegicus (Norway rat). The record is from RNAcentral. Lineage: Eukaryota; Metazoa; Chordata; Mammalia; Rodentia; Muridae.
UUUCUAACCCCGGAUGUCUCCUUUGGCCA